AGGUGAUGGAGGUGCUCGCCAUGAGGUCCGUGGCGGUCGUCUGGAGGUGCUCGUCUGGAGGUCCGUGGCGGUCGUCUGGAGGUGCUCACCUGGAGGUCCAUGGCGGUCGUCUGGAGGUGCUCGUCUGGAGGUCCGUGGCGGUCGUCUGGAGGUGCUCGCCGUGGCGGUCGUCUGGAGGUGCUCGUCUGGAGGUCCGUGGCGGUCGUCUGGAGGUGCUCGCCGUGAGGGCCGUGGCGGUCGUCUGGAGGCGCUCGCUGCAGGUGGAGGGAAGGCCGAGAGCCGUGCAGCCCAAGGGAUGCAGAACGAAGGACUGAGGCGGAGGCCAGCCUGGAGGCGGAGGCCAGCCUGGAAGUCCUGGAUGCGUCCAACCUGGAAGGGGCAGCAUGGAGGGGCCAGGUGGCGGCUCCUCAUCCAAAGGGCCCAGAGGCGGCCAACCUGGAAGGCCUGGAGACGGCGGAGGUCCUGGAGGCGGAGGCCAACCUGGAGGUCCUGGAGGCGGUGGGCCUGGAGGCGGCGGCGGCAGCGGCCAUCCUGGAGGCGGACUACCUGGAGGUCCUGGAGGCGGAUUGUGGAGACCAUCCUGGAGGGCCUGGAGGUGGCGUCCACAUGGUGGCGGCCGGCCUGGAGGCGGUGGCCAACCUGGAGGUCCUGGAGGCGGUGGGCCUGGAGGCGGCGGCGGCAGCGGCCAUCCUGGAGGCGGACUACCUGGAGGUCCUGGAGGCGGAUUGUGGAGACCAUCCUGGAGGUCCUGGAGGUGGCGUCCACAUGGUGGUGGCCGGCCUGGAGGCGGUGGCCAACCUGGAAGUCCUGGAGGCGGUGGGCCUGGAGGCGGCGGCAGCGGCCAUCCUGGAGGCGGACUACCUGGAGGUCCUGGAGGCGGAUUGUGGAGACCAUCCUGGAGGGCCCGGCGGCGGCGUCCUGGAGGGCCCGGAGGCGGAGGCUCCUCAUCCAGUAAAGCUAAACUCUUCUCCAGUGCAUCAUGAACGGGGAGGAAUGUCCGGGGUGCAAAUAGAACGCGUGUCUCAUUUCAGAAGAAAUGAGGCGACGUUGCGGAGGUCCAGGCGGUUGGCCCGGUGGAGGUCCUGGAGGAGACGGCCUGGAGGUGGAGGACGGCUGGGGGAUCCGGCGGUGGAGGUCCGAAGGCAGCUCGUGUUUAGACCAACCAGCUCCUCAUCCAUGGAAGGAUUGAAGGAGUCACUGGGGAUGAAGAUCACUGCUCAGGGGCUGACGACCCCCCCCCCCCCCCUCCUCAUCUUUCUGGAGAAGCGUCCUCAUGGUGCAGGCGGUCAAACCUCCACCUCUUUGAAGAGACCAAGCAGCUUGAUGACUGACUGGUUCCUUAUACUCAGGACCUCGAGCAGAGGAUAGACCUAAGGCCUACAGCGCAGCAGACUAGAGACUCCAUGUGGAACCGGUUCAAUUAAGUUGACCUCUCCUUCAGGCGACUUAAAGGGAGACCAGAUGUGCGGCAGCUGGGUGUCAUGGUGCAGAGACCCAACGCUGGUAAAUAUUUACUUCCUCCUUGAACAGACCUAACACGUCAAACGGCAAUUAUAUAAUCCCUCCUGAUCUUUAUAAAGGUCUGAAGACCAGUCUUUUCUGUGAACAUCUCCACUGAUGAGUGUGCUCUUAAUUAAAUUAAAGUUAAUUAAAUGCAGUAACUCCAAUGCACCUGGAGGCUCGUAUUGACAUUUUUUGAAACCUGGUUCUCCAGCACUAGGACUGUUGCGGUAAAUAAAUGUUUUUUUGCUAAUUUAAGUCUAUGAAAUCAAAUGCUGAUUGAGACCAGAUGGGGCUGUUCCUGCAUUUAUAGACAUUUCAUUGCCCUUGAAACUGAUUCUACUUUUUGCAUCAAUUUACUUCACAGUACUGAACUACACCAGUGUGUCCUACUCCCCAUAAACCCUGAGGAUCCCUGGCUACACCAGCACAUUAAUCCACACCCAACAUUAACACACAGUGCACACUCUAUAGAGCUUGUAAGUCCGCCCCUUGCGGCGGGACCUCGUGAGAUCGUAAAAUAUGACUGGGUUUCAAUGGAGAGAAAGUAAAUAUUUUCUCCAUUAUGUUGCACCACAUUUUGGGGGAAGAAUGUUUGAAUCAAUCUUUGUCAUUUAUUUCUGUACUCCAUAUCUGUAAUCCCAGCUGUUGUAUUUUAACACGGUAGCUGGGAACCCUCUUUAUAGGGAGCGACUAGAGGGACGAGGCUGGAAGCAAACCUGAGCCUGGAUCUUAACCUUCUUUCUAAACCUAAUGCCGCAAUUUAACCUCAAAUAAAGUGAGGCCUAAAGUAACUUGACUCUCUUGCCUAAACUCGCUUGCAUAAAACCUGAACUUGCUUGGCUAAACUCGCUUGCCUAAUACCUGAACUUGCUUGCCUAAACUCGCUUGCCUAAUACCUGAACUCGCUUGCCCAAUACCUGAACUUGCUUGCGUAAACUCGCUUGCCUAAUACCUAAACUCGCUUGCCUAAACUCGCUUGCCUAAACUCGCUUGCCUAAACUCGCUUGCCUAAACUCGCUUGCCUAAUACCUGAACUUGCUUGCCUAAACUCGCUUGCCUAAUACCUAAACUCGCUUGCCUAAACUCGCUUGCCUAAUACCUGAACUUGCUUGCCUAAACUCGCUUGCCUAAUACCUGAACUCGCUUGCCUAAUACCUGAACUUGCUUGCGUAAACUCGCUUGCCUAAUACCUAUUACUCGCUUGCCUAAUACCUGAACUCGCUUGCCUAAACUCGCUUGCCUAAUACCUGAACUUGCUUGCAUAAAACCUAACGUGCUUAGCUUGACUCGCUUGCCUGUACUCGCUUGGCUAAACUCGCUUGCCUAAUACCUGUAGUCCCUUGCCUAAAACCUAAACUUGCUUGUCCAAACACGUUACACAAAGUUAACCAUCCAUAAUCUUUAACCCAAACCAGACUUGUCCCUGGGUCGCUCCACUUUAAUUAAGAAGUUUCUUCUUUUACCUCAUCUGCGUUUUGAGUUUCAUUCUUUGAGGGCUUGAAGUGCUUUGGAGGAUAUUUGAACCUUUGUUCGCCAAAUGUUCAGUGUCCUUGAAUGUAAUGUCUAUGGUCUGACGAUAAUCUGACCUCUUCAUGAAGCAGAAUGUGUGUGAAUGUUGUCCCGUGAGCUCCAGGCUCUCUGUGGGCCUGUCAACGUCUCUUUAGCAAAAGGUUGGAGAGUGAAAUUCAUUUUUGUGCCAUUUUCAUGUGUUCCUGAGUAUUUCAGACCUGUGGUGUUUCACAUGAGACCUUAAUGGGAACAUUUCUUUUUCUGCCUGCAUACGUAAUGCCUACAUUAGUAGGGUGAUCACUGUUGAUCCCAAUAUUGUUCAUUAACCACCUCAUUCUUGUAUGAUUUUUUUCGAUAAGGAUUACAAAUCAUGUAAUUUGAGCAUAUUUGCAAAUGGCUCCAAAUAUCAGAUUGUGUAAACGAAUGAAAUGUAACCUGCUUGAUUUAAAGAAAAUAAAACAUCCAAAUAUUAUAAACCUGUUUUGUGUUGCUCUCUUACAUGUGGAAAUAAAACGCAGAUAGAUAUGUUUAGCUCUGAUUUGCUGCCUCCUUUUGGUGUGGUGCUGGGAUUUGUUUAAUAUACUAUUAUCAUUGCCAGGAUAAGUUAAUAACCUAGUAUAGCCUACCCGGAAAAGAAGGGAUAUGAUGGCCAGGGCAGGCUGUUUCGGUGUCCUGUUAACAUAUUGUGAGCGGAUUUGUGAACAUUCUCGGUGAAGGAAAUUCAAUUGCAAACGUUAAUCAACAUGCAGGACCAUUCAGCGAACACUUCACAUAUUUCUC
This 3792-nucleotide long non-coding RNA is filed under the name Gadus morhua (Atlantic cod). Its description in RNAcentral is "lncRNA (ENSGMOG00000033656.1)". Lineage: Eukaryota; Metazoa; Chordata; Actinopteri; Gadiformes; Gadidae. The record is from RNAcentral.